UUGAAUUUUUAUACUAUUGAAGUUGUAACAUUUUUAACUAAAUUAAGACCAAUAGAAGCCAAAGAAAAUACAUUGUAUUUUAAAAGUUCAAUUGUAAUGAAUUCUUAAAUUUUAAUUCAAUGAAAGUAUGAUUUAAUACAAAUAUAAUGUUGGACACUGGCUCCACAAUUGAUAAAAAAAAUACAAAGGCUGCAUACUUACAAUGGAUUGACAUAAUAAUACUUCUUACUUUUUACUUCAUAUUUUUAUGUUGAAUCCUAGAAAUCCAGGUAGGGGAGCUUCAAUGUGGUCUUUUGUAGCAUGUUUGGUUUAAGUGAUGUUAUCCAUUCCAUCUUUGAAUGAUUUUAUAGUUUUGCUCUCUUUUAAUUCAGCUGUCAUUAAGUUAUAUGUGCAACCAUCAAUAUCAUUGAAUAAAACAAUUAACACAAGCGGCCCAAGAACAGAUCCCUGAGGCACACCUCAUCUAGUCUGAGAUUUUACCAUUUAUAACAACUCAUUGUUUUUUUUCCAGUAGCCAGUUGUGGAUCCACUUGAGAACAUUACCUUUUACUCUAUGGGCCUCUAACUUUUUAAUUGUUUUGGCACUUUGUUGAAAGCUUUGGCAAAAUCCAGGUAUGCAUAAAAGGGCCUUUGUUUGCACUCUAGGUUAUUUUUUCUCAAAGUUUUGCUUAGCAUAAUAAACAGCUUUCUUGCAUUAAUUUUCAAUAGUCAUAAACUGUGCUAAGUGAUAUGGUAGAUGAGUAUUUUGAAAAAGGUUUCAAGAUCUUUUCUUUCUUCUGCACAAUUUUACAACAUAUUUUGUCAUCUUUUUAUGCAAUCAGUUAACACUGUUCUUCAGUUUCUUUGUACCUUCUGUAGCUUCUUAUCUUCUUUCUUAUCAACAUCAAGAACUAGUUUCUUUGUACCUUCAGUAGCUAUUUCUUUUCUUCCUUAUCAAACUCAAUAGAUUCCUAUUCAUUCUCAGUGGAGUCUUAGGAUUUCUAAUCUUUUUCAAGGUAUCCUAGAUAUUAGCAAGUUUGAUUAAGUUUAUUUUGAAAGUAUCCCAUGCCAAUCUUGUACAUUUAUCAUUUAGGAGUUCAAACCAGUCCAGGUGAUUCAGUGCAAACUUAAGGUUCUCAAUAUCAGCCCAUAAAACUUUAGUUUAAGCUCUAAAUAAAGUUUAUGUUUAGAAUACAAUUAUAUAUAUACAGAGAAGGAAAUGAGACCAAAGAAUCAAGAGAGAUAUCCGAAUAGAUAUUCAUGUGCUUCUUCAGAUCAGGGUUUUCGGAUUCAACCUGAACAUUGAGAAUUAAAAGAUUCAUAGGUCUUACAUACACCUUUUCAUCUUUGAUCUGAGGUCAUGGUUUCCCAAUUUAUUCCUGGGAGAUUUAAGUCACCAUUAACAAAUGAGUUUGGUUCAAUGUCAUUCAAUAUUUCACAUAGUUCAGCUGUAGUAUCACUAUUACUAUUAGAAAUAGGGCAAUAUCAUGAGUCCACUUUUGGCAUUUACAAGGAGACCUCCCCCUAUACCAUUAGCAGUGUCUAUUCAAUCACAUUUAAGCUCGUUAAUUAGUUCAUAAUUUGUUAAACUCAAAAUUGAGUCCUGGAUAUCCAUGACACCAAGACUCUGUCAAUAAUAUUAUGUCUGGUUUUAAGUCUUCCGAAAUAUAAUUCAAUUCUUAUACCUUGUUUACAACACUUUGAGCAUUAAGGUAGAGAAUUGUUAGUUUGAUUGGCUGUUCCCUUCUGUUGUCCUUCCUGUUCUGUUCCUGCGUCCCAGGGACUUCCCCAUACUGAUGGAGAAGCCUGAUCAUAAUCUUCUCUUGUACUCUUGUAUCCUCAGCUGGUUAUCCAUCUUUCUGGACAUUGUCCUUCUCAUCAGUAUCUCUAUUUAUCUGAUCUCUGUUCGUUUUGGUUCUUCUGGCCUCUUUAUGUUUCUCUAGGGUUUAUUUUGAUUGGCUUCUUUUUCUGUUAUGCGUUCUCCUUUUCAUUAACAUAUUCAAUACUCCUGGGCUCAGUUUCUUGAUAUGUGUACCCUCCUUUCAGAACUUUGAGUAUUAUAAUUUCUCCUGGGGAAAAUCUUUUUCUCCAGUCAAACUCUUUUCUCUUCUCUUGGUCCUUCUAGUUUCCAUUCAGAGUUCUGCGAAGUUUCAUUUUAUGUUCAGAUUUAUGCUUCAGAACUUCUAUCCUCCUCCUCCCUCUGGUAGUAGGGAGGUUCUUGGCUUUUUCAAGCAUUUUUUUUACAUUUUUUUCCAGACUACAAAAUCCAAUCAUCAAAGGUCUACAGUUUUCCUUCUUUUCCCCAAUCCUUUUAGAAAACUGGACACUUUCCUCUUAAAGCCUUACUCCAAUCUUGUUAAGGAUCUCAAGGAGACACUUGAUAUCCUUCUCUUGUCUAGAUAUACCAUUUCACACAUCUUCAUUAGUCUCUGCUAUGUUAUGAAAAGUAGAUUAUCCUUUCUAUCUUCUCUCUCUCUGAGCUCAUAAAGAAGUUAAUCAAUCUUCUAUUGGUUUGGGCAGUUCCUUAAUAUCUUUGGUAUUUUUGUUACUAAUGCUUCUCAGAUCCUCAACCUUGUUUCCAACAGCUUCAAUAUCUUUAUGGUUACUUGCAACCUCCAUCUCUAUCUCUUCUGUUCUGUUCUCCUAUUCUCCAGGUCUCACCACAACCUAAUUAGUUGAGUAUUCUCGUUUAAUUUAGUUUGUACUAGCCACAGCUAGUUGUUCAGUGGUACAAUGGGUUUGUUUUAGUAACUUUGCUGAACCCUUUCUAGCAGCUCAAUAUCACCCAUUAACCAUGGACUCCAUGCCUGGACUGAAAAUUCUAGGUGACGUCAGACAAAUUCUUCAAAAAGUUUUCUUGUCGUGGUAUAUAAAAACACUAGAGAUCUGUGCCAGUACAGUUAUUGCUCUGUGAGGUAUAAUCUAUUAUGACUCCAAUGUCUCAUUAGUGGGUUACUGUAGCUAGGGGUUAGCCAUUCAUUCAUUUUGGUACAGUGGUACAGAUCAUUUAUAAAUGUAACAAAAAGAAGAGGACCCAAGACAGACCCUUAGAAGACCCCACUUAUAACAUAGGACCACUCAGAACAACAUCCAUUUAGAAUCAUCCGCUGUUUGCAGUUGGGUCACAAGAAUUUGGUCCAUAUUUUUGUAACCUUGUAUGUGGCACUUAAUCAAAUACCUUACUAAAUCAAGAUAGCUAUUUCUGCAGAAUUUCCUCCAUCCACAAUAUUGGUAAUUUUAUAUAAGAAUCCCAGGAUAUUAGUAGUGCAAGACUUUAUGGACAUGAAUUCAUGUUGUGAACUUUUAAUGAGACAAUAUUUUAGUAGAUACCACUAUGCCAUCUAUAAUAAUGGAUUCCAUUACAUUGCAAGGAAUUGAUUUCAAUGAUAUUGGUCUUGAAUAACUGGGGUUGUAUUUGAAUCCUUUCUUAAAUAUAGGGGUGACAUUAGCGUCUCUCCAGUCAUGGGGUUCUGCACCAGAUUUCAUUGACUUAGAAUAGAAGAUAGAUAGUGGAAUACAGAGUGGAGCUGAAAAUUCUGAAAGAAAUCUUGACGAGAAAUGAUCAAGUCCUGAGCUGGAACAUAUUUUCAACUUCUUAAGUUUUCUGUCUACUACUUUAUCCACCUUAUCUAAUGCAGUCUCCUCCUUUUUAUCCACAAAAUCAACCACCUUCUCAUGAACCUCUCCAAUUCUCCUCAUAUUAUCAGCUACAGUGACAUAGACUUUAUUAAGCUUCUUAUGAAUGGUACUCUUUAGCUCUUCACAGUGUGUGCAGAUAAUAAUACCAAUUCAAUAAAUUAAAAGUACCAAUUUCACCAAGGUCUUUCAACUAGGGUGAAUAUCUGUCAGAAUGACACCCCUUUCCCCCCUCACCCUUGGAAUAAUUGGACAUCUAAAGGCAACUUUUUCUUUUCUUUUUGACGCUUUUACCGACAAAUUCAUUGAUGUCCUCCUAAAAAUCAUUUAUUUUCCCUAAGUCAGUGAAUAACCCCUAAAAAAGUUUUGGUGCUCUGCGAUACAUUAUAAAUAUAUA
This is a long non-coding RNA of Eurytemora carolleeae, 4012 nucleotides long. RefSeq lists it as uncharacterized. The transcript is spliced from 2 exons. Lineage: Eukaryota; Metazoa; Arthropoda; Copepoda; Calanoida; Temoridae. The record is from RefSeq and is a predicted model, not a curated record.